RNAcentral lists this ribosomal RNA (458 nucleotides) under uncultured beta proteobacterium. Its description in RNAcentral is "bacterial SSU rRNA". It matches the Rfam family "Bacterial small subunit ribosomal RNA", at positions 202 to 642 of the family's 1533-position model. The record is from RNAcentral. Lineage: Bacteria; Pseudomonadati; Pseudomonadota; Betaproteobacteria.
AAAGCAGGGGAUCGCAAGACCUUGCGCUUUUGGAGCGGCCGAUGUCUGAUUAGCUAGUUGGUGAGGUAAAGGCUUACCAAGGCUUCGAUCAGUAGCUGGUCUGAGAGGACGACCAGCCACACUGGGACUGAGACACGGCCCAGACUCCUACGGGAGGCAGCAGUGGGGAAUUUUGGACAAUGGGGGCAACCCUGAUCCAGCCAUGCCGCGUGAGUGAAGAAGGCCUUCGGGUUGUAAAGCUCUUUCAGCCGGAACGAAAAGGUUACGGUUAAUACCCGUGACUAAUGACGGUACCGGAAGAAGAAGCACCGGCUAACUACGUGCCAGCAGCCGCGGUAAUACGUAGGGUGCGAGCGUUAAUCGGAAUUACUGGGCGUAAAGCGUGCGCAGGCGGUUUUGUAAGUCAGAUGUGAAAUCCCCGGGCUUAACCUGGGAACUGCGUUUGAAACUACAAGGCU